Molecule: ribosomal RNA, 293 nt
Filed under: uncultured bacterium
Lineage: Bacteria
Description: partial 16S ribosomal RNA
Rfam family: Bacterial small subunit ribosomal RNA
Source: RNAcentral
GGAUUAGAUACCCUGGUAGUCCACGCCGUAAACGAUGUCUACUAGCCGUUGGGACUCUUGAAGUCUUAGUGGCGCAGCUAACGCACUAAGUAGACCGCCUGGGGAGUACGGCCGCAAGGUUAAAACUCAAAUGAAUUGACGGGGGCCCGCACAAGCGGUGGAGCAUGUGGUUUAAUUCGAUGCAACGCGAAGAACCUUACCUGGUCUUGACAUCCACAGAACUUUCCAGAGAUGGAUUGGUGCCUUCGGGAACUGUGAGACAGGUGCUGCAUGGCUGUCGUCAGCUCGUGUCG